Molecule: ribosomal RNA, 245 nt
Filed under: uncultured bacterium
Lineage: Bacteria
Description: partial 16S ribosomal RNA
Rfam family: Bacterial small subunit ribosomal RNA
Source: RNAcentral
UACAGAGGUCCCGAGCGUUGUUCGGAUUUAUUGGGCGUAAAGGGUGCGUAGGCGGUCAUGUAAGUCGGAUGUGAAAUCCCGCAGCUCAACUGCGGAACGGCAUCUGAUACUGCUUGACUCGAAGACUGGAGAGGAGACUGGAAUUUGCGGUGUAGCGGUGAAAUGCGUAGAUAUCGCAAGGAACACCAGUGGCGAAGGCGGGUCUCUGGACAGUUCUUGACGCUGAGGCACGAAAGCUAGGGGAG